AGAAUCAACGCUGGCGGCGUGCCUAACACAUGCAAGUCGAACGAGAAAGUGGUAGCAAUACCAUGAGUAAAGUGGCGCACGGGUGAGUAACACGUGACUAACCUACCCUGGAGUGGGGGAUAACUGAGGGAAACCUUAGCUAAUACCGCAUAAUACCACGGGUCAAAGGAGCAAUUCGCUCUGGGAGGGGGUCGCGGCCGAUUAGUUAGUUGGCGGGGUAAUGGCCCACCAAGACAGUGAUCGGUAUCCGGCCUGAGAGGGCGCACGGACACACUGGAACUGAAACACGGUCCAGACUCCUACGGGAGGCAGCAGUGGGGAAUUUUGCGCAAUGGGGGAAACCCUGACGCAGCAACGCCGCGUGGAGGAUGAAGUCCUUCGGGACGUAAACUCCUUUCGAUCGGGAAGAUUAUGACGGUACCGAUAUAAGAAGCCCCGGCUAACUUCGUGCCAGCAGCCGCGGUAAUACGAGGGGGGCGAGCGUUGUUCGGAAUUAUUGGGCGUAAAGGGUGCGUAGGCGGUUUGGCAAGUCUUAUGUGAAAUCUAUGGGCUCAACCCAUAGCCUGCAUGAGAAACUGCCGGGCUUGAGUAUGGGAGAGGUGAGUGGAAUUUCCGGUGUAGCGGUGAAAUGCGUAGAUAUCGGAAGGAACACCUGUGGCGAAAGCGGCUCACUGGACCAUAACUGACGCUGAGGCACGAAAGCUAGGGGAGCAAACAGGAUUAGAUACCCUGGUAGUCCUAGCCCUAAACGAUGAUUGCUUGGUGUGACGGGUACCCAAUCCCGCCGUGCCGUAGCUAACGCGUUAAGCAAUCCGCCUGGGGGGUACGGUCGCAAGGCUGAA
RNAcentral lists this ribosomal RNA (842 nucleotides) under uncultured bacterium. RNAcentral describes it as "bacterial SSU rRNA". It matches the Rfam family "Bacterial small subunit ribosomal RNA", at positions 26 to 898 of the family's 1533-position model. The record is from RNAcentral.